CCUACGGGCGGCUGCAGUGGGGAAUAUUGCACAAUGGGCGCAAGCCUGAUGCAGCCAUGCCGCGUGUGUGAAGAAGGCCUUCGGGUUGUAAAGCACUUUCAGCGGGGAGGAAGGCGGUGAGGUUAAUAACCUCAUCGAUUGACGUUACCCGCAGAAGAAGCACCGGCUAACUCCGUGCCAGCAGCCGCGGUAAUACGGAGGUUGCAAGCGUUAAUCGGAAUUACUGGGCGUAAAGCGCACGCAGGCGGUCUGUCAAGUCGGAUGUGAAAUCCCCGGGCUCAACCUGGGAACUGCAUUCGAAACUGGCAGGCUAGAGUCGUGUAGAGGGGGGUAGAAUUCCAGGUGUAGCGGUGAAAUGCGUAGAGAUCUGGAGGAAUACCGGUGGCGAAGGCGGCCCCCUGGACAAAGACUGACGCUCAGGUGCGAAAGCGUGGGGAGCAAACAGGAUUAGAUACCCCAGUAGUC
Molecule: ribosomal RNA, 465 nt
Filed under: uncultured Klebsiella sp.
Lineage: Bacteria; Pseudomonadati; Pseudomonadota; Gammaproteobacteria; Enterobacterales; Enterobacteriaceae
Description: bacterial SSU rRNA
Rfam family: Bacterial small subunit ribosomal RNA
Source: RNAcentral